GCUUCGAUAGCUCAUCAGGUUAGAGUACAGAACUGAAGUUUCUGGGGGAUUGGUUCGAGUCCAGUUCGAGGCA
Molecule: transfer RNA, 73 nt
Filed under: Apiotrichum gracile
Lineage: Eukaryota; Fungi; Basidiomycota; Tremellomycetes; Trichosporonales; Trichosporonaceae
Description: tRNA-Phe
Rfam family: tRNA
About the family: Transfer RNA (tRNA) molecules are approximately 80 nucleotides in length. Their secondary structure includes four short double-helical elements and three loops (D, anti-codon, and T loops).
Source: RNAcentral